GUGCUUGGGGGAGACAGGCGGUGUCACCUGUGCUUAGACCAGGGGCGGUGGGCGGGUACCCUUGAGGUGGCAAGGUCACACUGCUCAUCAGAAGUUUCUCACUAGGGUCUUCUCCGGCUCAGCCUUUGACUGAAGCUGGUCUGGAGACAGGGGCGUUAGAGAAGUGACUCAUAGAUGACCUAAAGAAGCGGGGCCACUCAAGGACCCAGGACAGAGGGAAGAGGGCCAACCCAGCUGGACCGCAGGCAAACCCCAUGGCCUUUGAGAGAAGAGAGAAGAGGACCCGGUGAAACAUGCUGCUGCUGAAGAAACACACGGAGGACAUCAGCAGCGUCUACGAGAUCCGCGAGAGGCUCGGCUCGGGUGCCUUCUCCGAGGUGGUGCUGGCCCAGGAGCGGGGCUCCGCACACCUCGUGGCCCUCAAGUGCAUCCCCAAGAAGGCCCUCCGGGGCAAGGAGGCCCUGGUGGAGAACGAGAUCGCAGUGCUCCGUAGGAUCAGUCACCCCAACAUCGUCGCUCUGGAGGAUGUCCACGAGAGCCCUUCCCACCUCUACCUGGCCAUGGAACUGGUGACGGGUGGCGAGCUGUUUGACCGCAUCAUGGAGCGCGGCUCCUACACAGAGAAGGAUGCCAGCCAUCUGGUGGGUCAGGUCCUCGGCGCCGUUUCCUACCUGCACAGCCUGGGGAUCGUGCACCGGGACCUCAAGCCCGAAAACCUCCUGUAUGCCACGCCCUUUGAGGACUCGAAGAUCAUGGUCUCUGACUUUGGACUCUCCAAAAUCCAGGCUGGCAACAUGCUAGGCACCGCCUGUGGGACCCCUGGAUAUGUGGGUGAGGGACGACACCCUGAGGCUUGCUGGGAGUGGGGUGGCCUGGGGGACCCUAGACAGCCGGGAAGGCUGUUGUGCCCGUUGUCUUUGUGUGGGCCAUUCCUGGGCUUGAGUAGGCCGAGCCAGUGACACUGAGCGGCAUGGCUGCGUGUGUGCCUGUGCGUGCGUCUGUCUGUCUCUGGCCCCCAGCCCCAGAGCUCUUGGAGCAGAAACCCUACGGGAAGGCCGUAGAUGUGUGGGCCCUGGGCGUCAUCUCCUACAUCCUGCUGUGUGGGUACCCCCCCUUCUACGAUGAGAGCGACCCUGAGCUCUUCAGCCAGAUCCUGAGGGCCAGCUAUGAGUUUGACUCUCCUUUCUGGGAUGACAUCUCAGAAUCAGCCAAAGACUUCAUCCGGCACCUUCUGGAGCGAGACCCCCAGAAGAGGUUCACCUGCCAACAGGCCUUGCAGCAUCUUUGGAUCUCUGGGGACACAGCCUUCGACAGGGACAUCUUAGGCUCUGUCAGUGAGCAGAUCCAGAAGAACUUUGCUCGGACACACUGGAAGCGAGCCUUCAAUGCCACCUCGUUCCUGCGCCACAUCCGGAAGCUGGGGCAGAGCCCAGAGGGCGA
This 1440-nucleotide small RNA is filed under the name Pongo abelii (Sumatran orangutan). RNAcentral's name for it is "retained intron". The record is from RNAcentral. Lineage: Eukaryota; Metazoa; Chordata; Mammalia; Primates; Hominidae.